Molecule: ribosomal RNA, 494 nt
Filed under: uncultured bacterium
Lineage: Bacteria
Description: partial 16S ribosomal RNA
Rfam family: Bacterial small subunit ribosomal RNA
Source: RNAcentral
GACGAACGCUGGCGGCGUGCUUAACACAUGCAAGUCGAACGGUGAAGCGCCUUCCUUUUUGGUGGGUGUGGAUGAGCGGCGAACGGGUGAGUAACACGUGAGUAACCUGCCCCCUUCUUCUGGAUAACCGCAUGAAAGUGUGGCUAAUACGGGAUAUUCUGGGUCUGUCGCAUGAUGGGUCUGGGAAAGAUAUUGUUUCGGUGGGGGAUGGGCUCGCGGCCUAUCAGCUUGUUGGUGGGGUGAUGGCCUACCAAGGCGGUGACGGGUAGCCGGCCUGGGAGGGUGGACGGUCACACUGGGACUGAGACACGGCCCAGACUCCUACGGGAGGCAGCAGUGGGGAAUAUUGCACAAUGGGCGCAAGCCUGAUGCAGCGACGCCGCGUGAGGGAUGGAGGCCUUCGGGUUGUGAACCUCUUUCGCCAGUGAAGCAGGCCUGCCUCGUUUGUGGGUGGGUUGACGGUAGCUGGAUAAGAAGCGCCGGCUAACUACGUG